RNAcentral lists this ribosomal RNA (699 nucleotides) under uncultured bacterium. RNAcentral describes it as "bacterial SSU rRNA". It matches the Rfam family "Bacterial small subunit ribosomal RNA", at positions 79 to 774 of the family's 1533-position model. The record is from RNAcentral.
CUUGCUUCUCUUGAGAGCGGCGGACGGGUGAGUAAUGCCUAGGAAUCUGCCUGGUAGUGGGGGAUAACGUUCGGAAACGGACGCUAAUACCGCAUACGUCCUACGGGAGAAAGCAGGGGACCUUCGGGCCUUGCGCUAUCAGAUGAGCCUAGGUCGGAUUAGCUAGUUGGUGGGGUAAUGGCUCACCAAGGCGACGAUCCGUAACUGGUCUGAGAGGAUGAUCAGUCACACUGGAACUGAGACACGGUCCAGACUCCUACGGGAGGCAGCAGUGGGGAAUAUUGGACAAUGGGCGAAAGCCUGAUCCAGCCAUGCCGCGUGUGUGAAGAAGGUCUUCGGAUUGUAAAGCACUUUAAGUUGGGAGGAAGGGUUGUAGAUUAAUACUCUGCAAUUUUGACGUUACCGACAGAAUAAGCACCGGCUAACUCUGUGCCAGCAGCCGCGGUAAUACAGAGGGUGCAAGCGUUAAUCGGAAUUACUGGGCGUAAAGCGCGCGUAGGUGGUUUGUUAAGUUGGAUGUGAAAUCCCCGGGCUCAACCUGGGAACUGCAUUCAAAACUGACUGACUAGAGUAUGGUAGAGGGUGGUGGAAUUUCCUAUGUAGCGGUGAAAUGCGUAGAUAUAGGAAGGAACACCAGUGGCGAAGGCGACCACCUGGACUAAUACUGACACUGAGGUGCGAAAGCGUGGGGAGCAAACA